AGGAACUCUUGUGCAGAGGCGCGGUGAAUAAAGAGGGUGCGAGAGGUAUGCGGAUUUACGGGGCUGAAAGCGCGUGUAGGUGGUGAAUUAAGUCAAAUGUGAAAUACCCGAGCUUAACUUGGGAAUGGCAUUCGAUACUGGUUAGCUAGAGUAUGGGAGAGGAUGGUAGAAUUCCAGGUGUAGCGGUGAAAUGCGUAGAGAUCUGGAGGAAUACCGAUGGCGAAGGCAGCCAUCUGGGCUAAUACUGACACUGAGGUGCGAAAGCAUGGGGAGCAAACAGGAUUAGAUACCCUGGUAGUC
RNAcentral lists this ribosomal RNA (300 nucleotides) under uncultured Natrialba sp. RNAcentral's name for it is "bacterial SSU rRNA". It matches the Rfam family "Bacterial small subunit ribosomal RNA", at positions 496 to 795 of the family's 1533-position model. Lineage: Archaea; Methanobacteriati; Methanobacteriota; Halobacteria; Halobacteriales; Natrialbaceae. The record is from RNAcentral.